GACGGAAGGUGCAAGCGUUGCUCGGAAUCAUUGGGCGUAAAGGGUGCGUAGGCGGCGCGGUAAGUCGGGUGUGAAAUCUCGGGGCUUAACUCCGAAACUGCAUUCGAUACUACCGUGCUUGAGGACUGGAGAGGAGACUGGAAUUUACGGUGUAGCGGUGAAAUGCGUAGAUAUCGUAAGGAAGACCAGUGGCGAAGGCGGGUCUCUGGACAGUUCCUGACGCUGAGGCACGAAGGCUAGGGGAGCAAACGGG
RNAcentral lists this ribosomal RNA (253 nucleotides) under uncultured bacterium. RNAcentral's name for it is "partial 16S ribosomal RNA". It matches the Rfam family "Bacterial small subunit ribosomal RNA", at positions 524 to 776 of the family's 1533-position model. The record is from RNAcentral.